GGGAGAGCUGAGGUGCCCCAGGUGAAGGGACAGGCGGCAAUAGCUGGUGGAGAAGGAGGGGAGGUGUACUGGGUAAGGGCUCAUCCUGCGCUGGCAGACUGCCACGUUCCCUAGGAUUCCCACACAGCCGCUCCUGCCUCACCCAUGAGAUCCCUGGUUUUGAUUCUGUUUAGUUGCUGUAGCUGCAGUCAUCUGGGGAGUCUGGGUGUUUCCUAGCUCCAAAGUCAGAGGUUUUAAGAAGGGGCAUGUGCCCCAGCUCCGGGCAGUGGGGCCCCGGAAGCAGUCGGCUGAGGGCUGCUGGGGGACUUUCCCACCAUCCACAAAAGGCUGGACGCUGGAGUGUUCUCUCAGAGCCAGCCUUUGGCUGUCAGUGUGUGGGCAUGUGGCACCAGCAACUGCUGCAGUCGGCUUGUGACCACAAAGGGUCCAACCAGAGGACAAAGGCCAAUAUGCUGAGAAUCCAGAGCAGAAGGAGAAAGAACCUGGGUCUCUGGUGAUGUCCCUGAGCCCCUGAAUUGGUCGGUCCUAGAGCCACCCCCCCUUGGGACUUCCUGGUCACUGGAGAUCAGACAUGCACUUUGAGCAAUUUUGGGUUAGAUCUUUUGUUUCAGCAUCACAGACAUGGUGCAGAGCCCCCAUAUUGAUUAUCUACUACUGCGUAACAAAUUACCCCCAAACUUAGCGACUGAAGAUGACAGACAUUUAUGAUGUCACAGUUUCCGUGGGUCAGGAAUGUGGCGGUGAUGCAAGCGGGUGGUUCUGGCUCAGGCUCUUGGGAGACCGCCCUCAAAAUGUCGCUCAGGACUGAAGUCCUCUGGAGGCUGGCUAGGCCUGGAAGACCCACUUCCGAGCUUGCGGGAGGCCCCAGUUCCCUAUCAGGUGCCUGGAACAUUCAAGAUGUCCUCUCCUCCAUCAGCAUGGGUCCCUGAGGAACCACAGGGACGGGAAGCCACCCCACGCCACAGCCAGCCUGAAGUGGACAUGCAGCACGAUGAGAAAUAAACC
RNAcentral lists this long non-coding RNA (1005 nucleotides) under Equus caballus (horse). RNAcentral describes it as "lncRNA (ENSECAG00000046860.1)". Lineage: Eukaryota; Metazoa; Chordata; Mammalia; Perissodactyla; Equidae. The record is from RNAcentral.